Molecule: ribosomal RNA, 432 nt
Filed under: Creaserinus burrisi
Lineage: Eukaryota; Metazoa; Arthropoda; Malacostraca; Decapoda; Cambaridae
Description: partial 16S ribosomal RNA
Rfam family: Bacterial large subunit ribosomal RNA
Source: RNAcentral
AUUAGUUUUUUAAUUGGAGGCUGGGAUGAAUGGUUGGACAAGAGAUAAUCUGUCUCAAUAAAAGAUAUUGAAUUUAACUUUUAAGUGAAAAGGCUUAAAUGAUCUGAGGGGACGAUAAGACCCUAUAAAACUUUAUAUUUAAGGGUGUAAGUUGUUUUUGUUUGUAAGUUAUUAUCUGAGAGUAUUUGGUUGGGGCGACAGGAAUAGGAUAUAAAGUAACUGUUCUUUUUUUUGACAAUAAUAUUUGGUUUAAUGAUCCUAAAAAGGAUUGAAGAUUAAGUUACUUUAGGGAUAACAGCGUAAUUUUUUUUGAGAGUUCUUAUCGACAAAAAAGUUUGUGACCUCGAUGUUGAAUUAAAGGUUCUUUAUAGAGGAGAGACUAUAAUAGAAGGUCUGUUCGACCUUUAAAAUUUUACAUGAUUUGAGUUCAGA